This 483-nucleotide ribosomal RNA is filed under the name uncultured bacterium. RNAcentral's name for it is "partial 16S ribosomal RNA". It matches the Rfam family "Bacterial small subunit ribosomal RNA", at positions 30 to 507 of the family's 1533-position model. The record is from RNAcentral.
AUUGAACGCUGGCGGCAGGCCUAACACAUGCAAGUCGAGCGGAUGAAGGGAGCUUGCUCCUGGAUUCAGCGGCGGACGGGUGAGUAAUGCCUAGGAAUCUGCCUGGUAGUGGGGGAUAACGUCCGGAAACGGGCGCUAAUACCGCAUACGUCCUGAGGGAGAAAGUGGGGGAUCUUCGGACCUCACGCUAUCAGAUGAGCCUAGGUCGGAUUAGCUAGUUGGCGGGGUAAAGGCCUACCAAGGCGACGAUCCGUAACUGGUCUGGGAGGUUGAUCAGUCACACUGAAACGGAGACACGGUCCGGACUCCUACGGAAGGCAGCAGUGGGAAUAUUGGACAAUGGGCGAAAGCCUGAUCCAGCCAUGCCGCGUGUGUGAAGAAGGUCUUCGGAUUGUAAAGCACUUUAAGUUGGGAGGAAGGGCAGUAAGUUAAUACCUUGCUGUUUUGACGUUACCAACAGAAUAAGCACCGGCUAACUUCGUG